Molecule: long non-coding RNA, 691 nt
Filed under: Arachis ipaensis
Lineage: Eukaryota; Viridiplantae; Streptophyta; Magnoliopsida; Fabales; Fabaceae
Description: long non-coding RNA (AIPA_LNC000788)
Source: RNAcentral
UUCAAGGGACCACCACCUCAUUUCCUUCAUCACUAUCACCGCCAUUAUACCUCUAUCAUCAUCUUUUUCACAACAACAACAACAACAGCGAUAAAAACAAAGAGAAAAAACGAAAAAGACAGUAACAGAUCCACAUAAGAAGGAAAUGCUAUGGAGUUGAGAAGGGAGAAAUUUGUAGUUGUAGUGUAAUUUCAAACAGCAGAGGAGACACCACAGUUUCAAAAAUAGCACUCCCGUAAGUCACUGUCACCUCUUUCAACUUUUUCUCUGUCACUUUCGUGGCCCAAUUCAUCCAUGUUCUUCACCGCCGUGAAUUUUCUGUUUUUAUUUUCUUCUCCUUCCCAUAACUCAAUCAAUACAGAAUCUGUAAUCUCAUAACUGUAAUUUCCUAUUUUCUUAUUUUCUUCAUUCAAUGACGCCUCCUUUUAUGUGUUUGUGCUUAUCUUCUCGUUUUAAGUUGCAUGUUGAUUCUAAAGGAAUCCUUUUUUUUAGGGUUUCUAUUUUAAGUGAGCUUUGAAACAUGAGAUACGGUAAGAGAUGAUUGUCAGCGGUGUUACACAGAAGAUUCAUUUUGGAGUUGACGUACUUUGGCGGCGGCGACGAACUCAUAAAUGGAAGGAGAGAAAGAAGAUGAGGUUAGUGGCGGCGACGGUGGUAAGGUGGUAAGAUGAUACGGAUGAUGUGAUAAGGG